Molecule: non-coding RNA, 602 nt
Organism: Aegilops tauschii subsp. strangulata
Lineage: Eukaryota; Viridiplantae; Streptophyta; Magnoliopsida; Poales; Poaceae
Source: RefSeq, a predicted model, not a curated record
GGGUGUCAGUGAUCACCGUGGCGCGGGAGAGCGAGCUGUGGAGGGCGAGGAACUGCUCAACGGUCGGCUGCGGGUUCUGCUCCUCCGCCGUCGAGCUCACCUCAGCGUACGAGCUGCUCCCACAAAAACAAGCAAGCCAAGGUAGGAGAUCAAGUGCAUUUAAGAUUUUACUUUCAAACACAGUUGUGUCACACAAGACAGUAAAAUUUUCCAGCAUUUGAGUGAAAUGCUGACAUUUUCCAGCAGUGGUUUGGAAAUGCUGUACAUUAGCAAUGAUGAGAUUGACAGUAGAGGACAGUGGAGCUGCCCAGUUGAUGAUGGUAGAAGGAAACAAGACGCAGGUGCAAGUACAGUGCAAUGAUAGGUAAACAGCAGGCCAUCCACACACAGCAUCAACAGACACAGUUCUGAAAAUUGGUCGUCCAUAUGCAAACCAAAACACUGUGAGUGUCAAGGUUAAUACCCUACGCGACACAGCAUGAACAUAGAGCAAUAGCCGCGCGUCUCGUUACUUGGGGCGUACCCUGUACCUGGAUGCUAAUACCUCCAUUUGAUUUGAUCCGUUUGCCCUGUAGAGUUUUGUACUUUCUAGCACAGCCUAA